This 712-nucleotide ribosomal RNA is filed under the name uncultured Lachnospiraceae bacterium. RNAcentral describes it as "bacterial SSU rRNA". It matches the Rfam family "Bacterial small subunit ribosomal RNA", at positions 63 to 776 of the family's 1533-position model. The record is from RNAcentral. Lineage: Bacteria; Bacillati; Bacillota; Clostridia; Lachnospirales; Lachnospiraceae.
CGAACGGGAAAUAUUUCAUUGAGACUUCGGUGGAUUUGAUCUAUUUCUAGUGGCGGACGGGUGAGUAACGCGUGGGUAACCUGCCUUAUACAGGGGGAUAACAGUCAGAAAUGGCUGCUAAUACCGCAUAAGCGCACAGAGCUGCAUGGCUCAGUGUGAAAAACUCCGGUGGUAUAAGAUGGACCCGCGUUGGAUUAGCUUGUUGGUGGGGUAACGGCCCACCAAGGCGACGAUCCAUAGCCGGCCUGAGAGGGUGAACGGCCACAUUGGGACUGAGACACGGCCCAGACUCCUACGGGAGGCAGCAGUGGGGAAUAUUGCACAAUGGGGGAAACCCUGAUGCAGCGACGCCGCGUGAAGGAAGAAGUAUCUCGGUAUGUAAACUUCUAUCAGCAGGGAAGAUAGUGACGGUACCUGACUAAGAAGCCCCGGCUAACUACGUGCCAGCAGCCGCGGUAAUACGUAGGGGGCAAGCGUUAUCCGGAUUUACUGGGUGUAAAGGGAGCGUAGACGGUGUGGCAAGUCUGAUGUGAAAGGCAUGGGCUCAACCUGUGGACUGCAUUGGAAACUGUCAUACUUGAGUGCCGGAGGGGUAAGCGGAAUUCCUAGUGUAGCGGUGAAAUGCGUAGAUAUUAGGAGGAACACCAGUGGCGAAGGCGGCUUACUGGACGGUAACUGACGCUGAGGCUCGAAAGCGUGGGGAGCAAACAGG